CAACCAAGCAUUACAAUACAACAAACCUGUUGGUUUUAGGAUUUGGAGCCUGUUUUAAAUUUUAUGAUUAGACUACAAUAAACACGCAAAUAAUACCUGCAUUUUUAUCAUGAUUAGAUCUCUUUUCAUGUUGUAUUGCCGUCUGUACUAUGCUGGUAGAAAAAAUACCAAUGUCAGUGUGCCACUGGUCAUUGGUCAAAACUUAUUACACAUCAAAAUUUAUUAGACCAAAAAAGUUUAAAAUUACUGUAACGAUGUUAAAAUCAAACGUGUCCAGUAAAUGCGAUAGUUUCUUGUACUUUUCAUAUGGUGGCAAUAUGUUAACAUUCAGAAUUCACAUGCAUUGCCCUACGGCGGAAUUUUUGUCAAUAGCCAGAGUAGACAAUUAUAGACUGGAUUUCAUUAAAUACUCCAAGUUCUGGGGAGGCCCUACAGCUACUUUGGUUCCCACUGCAAACGCACACGUUUGGGGUGUACUUUGGCGCCUUCAUGAAAACGAUAUGUUAGCACUCGAUGCACAAAAAGGGGUAGAAGUAAAAAAAUAUUAUAUCAAAUACAUUGACGUAUUGACACCAUAUUUGGGAAAAUUCCAUUGCCGAGCUUAUGUACAAAAAGUGAACCCUUUGCCGAGAGGAGACAACGAUGAAAUUCCUGUUGAAAGGUGGCCUUCGUGGGCGUAUAAGGAAAUAAUGAUAGCCGGGGCGCGUGAAAACGGGUUACCUCCAUACUACAUUGAGGGCCUGAAGAAAAUGAAACACAAUGGAGAAGAAGGUUGGCUGAGAACAGUCUGUCUACUGAAUCGCUAUGCACGACAAAAACCUUGUCUAUGUAAAGUACCAGGGAGAAUUCCAAGAAAGCCACUAAAACUCGACUUGAAGAAAUAUAAACUUAAAAAAAUGAAAAGUAAGGGUACAUAGCCUAUUUAUUCCCACAUGAGAUA
Molecule: long non-coding RNA, 940 nt
Organism: Ostrinia nubilalis (European corn borer)
Lineage: Eukaryota; Metazoa; Arthropoda; Insecta; Lepidoptera; Crambidae
Exons: 3
Source: RefSeq, a predicted model, not a curated record